Long non-coding RNA from Ornithorhynchus anatinus (platypus), 1705 nucleotides. RefSeq lists it as uncharacterized. The record is from RefSeq and is a predicted model, not a curated record. The transcript is spliced from 2 exons. NCBI's taxonomy places the organism in Eukaryota, Metazoa, Chordata, Mammalia, Monotremata, Ornithorhynchidae.
GGGGAGAGAAAGAAAUGGAGUCACUGGUGCUGGAGAGAGUUACUGCCCCGCGCGGAGAAGCCCUCCUUUCUCUGCCUCUCGCCCCUCUCUGCUUUCUUGGCUGGGGUUUGUUCAUGACAGAAGGGCUGCGUGUUUGUUUGGGGGGGCUUGUUGUGUGUGUGUGUGUGUGUGUGUGUGUGUGUGUGGUUUUUUUUACAUACAAAAAAAAACCGGUGGCUAUAAUCAGCUGCAGAGAGGAUCUCUCCGGUUUAGUCCCUGCCAAUUUCCCCGAGAGCUGGCACUGCAGGGGACUCCAGAGGCAAAGAGGAAGGUGAGGGAGGACGGAUUGUGAAGGGAGAGGAAAUGGACACAUGCCAUCGAUGAAGCGACGAGGCUGUCAUUGCCAGAGUGCCAGCAGACAGCAUGGGGCCAAAAAAAAAAAAAAAAAGCUGGCAACCCAUCUUGAAGCAGGCGGCGGCGGCGGCUGAGUUGGCAGAGGUGCCAUGGAGGACGGGCUGCAGAGAGCAGGCGAACCGGGAGAGCGAGAGAAAGGGAGACGGGGAGAGACGCGGCGGCAGAGGGGGAACAGGUAACGGCCGGUGGACCCGGACAAGCUCAAGAGUGAAGGUGUGGAACAUGGGGCAGGAGAUGGGGAAGUCAAAGGAAGUCAAUGGAGGACAGAAGGCACCUGAAAUUCCAGACUAGGGAUCCUACAUUUAGUGGAACAAAGGGCAAAAGAUCCUUGGAGUCCUACAUGCUGCAACAUGAAAUCUCGUAUCCCGAGGAAUACAGAGGGGCUGCAGCCCAGGGAUCCUCGAAUGGAUAGAGGCCAUGGUGGUAACAACAGGCCUUUCUCUCUUUGGCAUCAGGCCCAAACAACAGUGAUAUCGUGUUCCCCUGGAGGAGUCUCACCUCACCGGCAUCUCUCUCAUACCACCACAUCAGAAAACAGCAAAGACUCCCAUCCAGGGACUUGUUGUUCAUCCUUUUCCUGCAGCCAAGAAGAGAAUUCCCAGAGUGGGUCAGAUGUUUGGAUUAGACUUGUCUGACAAGCUCACGUGUUCUUGGGGAAAAAUGGUUCAAAUGGAUGAAGCACUCCUGUCACUUGCAGCACACAGUACCAACACCAAAGAGUCAGUUUCACUGAACUCUAGCUAUAUAGGGGCCCCGGAGGUGGGACCCUCCAAACUCCUCUGAAUCGGCUGUAUGUGCACCAUGAUCCUCUCCUUCCUUGAAGCCGGAUUCUGCUGCAGCUGGUGGCUGAGGGACCGCCAACAGCGCUCCCUGUUCUGACACACUUUCUGCCUACAAAUGCCCUUGCCAUGGCCACGUGGGCACUGGAGGCUGGUCCCCUGGGGGAUGGGCCUACGUGGAACCGGAAGGCUGCCCACCCAUUCUGGAUGGCCCCUUGGGGAGAGAAGGGCACUUCUCCUGGCUUGGUAGCAACCAAAAUGAAGGCUAAGCUGUAUCCUCCUCCCAUCCCCUGGGGAGCUGCCUUCCACUCCCCGCCGGACCCCCCAUCUCAUAGCCAUCAUUUUCCCUCUCCUUUUUCAGUGCUCUGAGUAACCGGGGCUGAGACUGGCUGCACGGAGCAGAGGAUGGGGCUGGCCCACCAAGGGUUAACCGCUGAUUACAGCCUUUGUCUCUGCAUCAGUGUACAUAAUGCGCUCCUCAUUUGCAUACUGCAGUGUGCGCUCAAUUAAAAUGAACUUUUAAUUUCUUCUAA